UACAGAGGGUGCAAGCGUUGUUCGGAAUUAUUGGGCGUAAAGCGCGUGUAGGCGGCUUUGCAAGUCGGGUGUGAAAGCCCUCAGCUCAACUGAGGAAGUGCGCCCGAAACUGCAGAGCUUGAGUGCCGGAGAGGAUGGCGGAAUUCCCCAAGUAGAGGUGAAAUUCGUAGAUAUGGGGAGGAACACCGGUGGCGAAGGCGGCCAUCUGGACGGUGACUGACGCUGAGACGCGAAAGCGUGGGGAGCAAACAGGG
RNAcentral lists this ribosomal RNA (254 nucleotides) under uncultured bacterium. RNAcentral describes it as "partial 16S ribosomal RNA". It matches the Rfam family "Bacterial small subunit ribosomal RNA", at positions 524 to 777 of the family's 1533-position model. The record is from RNAcentral.